RNAcentral lists this ribosomal RNA (490 nucleotides) under uncultured bacterium. Its description in RNAcentral is "partial 16S ribosomal RNA". It matches the Rfam family "Bacterial small subunit ribosomal RNA", at positions 29 to 507 of the family's 1533-position model. The record is from RNAcentral.
AGUGAACGCUGGCGGUAGGCCUAACACAUGCAAGUCGAACGGCAGCACAGGAGAGCUUGCUCUCUGGGUGGCGAGUGGCGGACGGGUGAGGAAUACAUCGGAAUCUGCCCAGUCGUGGGGGAUAACGUAGGGAAACUUACGCUAAUACCGCAUACGACCUUCGGGUGAAAGAGGGGGAUCGCAAGACCUCUCGCGAUUGGAUGAGCCGAUGUCGGAUUAGCUAGUUGGCGGGGUAAUGGCCCACCAAGGCGACGAUCCGUAGCUGGUCUGAGAGAAUGAUCAGCCACACUGGAACUGAGACACGGUCCAGACUCCUACGGGAGGCAGCAGUGGGGAAUAUUGGACAAAGGGCGCAAGCCUGAUCCAGCCAUACCGCGUGGGUGAAGAAGGCCUUCGGGUUGUAAAGCCCUUUUGUUGGGAAAGAAAUCUUUCAGGCUAAUACCCUGGGAGGAUGACGGUACCCAAAGAAUAAGCACCGGCUAACUUCGUG